Molecule: ribosomal RNA, 485 nt
Filed under: uncultured bacterium
Lineage: Bacteria
Description: bacterial SSU rRNA
Rfam family: Bacterial small subunit ribosomal RNA
Source: RNAcentral
CUGGCGGCGUGCCUAACACAUGCAAGUCGAACGGGGCAUCAGCGCUGACGAGACUUCGGUCAAAUCUUGUUGAUGCUUAGUGGCGGACGGGUGGAGUAACGCGUGGGCAACCUGCCUCACACUGGGGGAUAGCAGCUGGAAACGGCUGGUAAUACCGCAUAAGCGCACAGUACCGCAUGGUACAGUGUGAAAAACUCCGGUGGUGUGAGAUGGGCCCGCGUCCGAUUAGCCAGUUGGCGGGGUAACGGCCCACCAAAGCGACGAUCGGUAGCCGGCCUGAGAGGGCGGACGGCCACAUUGGGACUGAGACACGGCCCAGACUCCUACGGGAGGCAGCAGUGGGGGAUAUUGCACAAUGGGGGAAACCCUGAUGCAGCGACGCCGCGUGGGUGAAGAAGUAUUUCGGUAUGUAAAGCCCUAUCAGCAGGGACGAUAAUGACGGUACCUGAGUAAGAAGCCCCGGCUAACUACGUGCCAGCCGCCGC